AUUGAACGCUGGCGGCAGGCCUAACACAUGCAAGUCGAACGAGCGGCGGACGGGUGAGUAAUGUCUGGGAAACUGCCCGAUGGCGGGGGAUAACUACUGGAAACGGUAGCUAAUACCGCAUACUAUCGGCUGAGCCCCGAUGGGAUUAGCUAGUAGGUGGGGUAAAGGCUCACCUAGGCGACGAUCCCUAGCUGGUCUGAGAGGAUGAUCAGCCACACUGGAACUGAGACACGGUCCAGACUCCUACGGGAGGCAGCAGUGGGGAAUAUUGCACAAUGGGCGCAAGCCUGAUGCAGCCAUGCCGCGUGUAUGAAGAAGGCCUUAGGGUUGUAAAGUACUUUCAGCGGGGAGGCGUUACCCGCAGAAGAAGCACCGGCUAACUCCGUGCCAGCAGCCGCGGUAAUAC
RNAcentral lists this ribosomal RNA (406 nucleotides) under uncultured bacterium. Its description in RNAcentral is "partial 16S ribosomal RNA". It matches the Rfam family "Bacterial small subunit ribosomal RNA", at positions 30 to 526 of the family's 1533-position model. The record is from RNAcentral.